CCGGGAUUCCACUCGCCCCGGACCACAAGAACAUCGGGAGUUGGAGGUACCAGCCCACAUGGGAUGAUUGUCAGCAUCUGCUUCAGACUCUCCUAACGGCUGAGGAGAGGCAACGGGUUCUUUUAGAAGCCA
Molecule: long non-coding RNA, 132 nt
Organism: Aethalodelphis obliquidens (Pacific white-sided dolphin)
Lineage: Eukaryota; Metazoa; Chordata; Mammalia; Artiodactyla; Delphinidae
Exons: 2
Source: RefSeq, a predicted model, not a curated record